AAGUAACGCGUGAGGAACCUGCCUCAAAGGAGGGGACAACAGUUAGGAAACGACUGCUAAUACCGCAUAAGCCCACGGCUCGGCAUCGAGCAGAGGGAAAAGGAGUGAUCCGCUUUGAGAUGGCCUCGCGUCCGAUUAGCUAGUUGGUGAGGUAAUGGCCCACCAAGGCGACGAUCGGUAGCCGGACUGAGAGGUUGAACGGCCACAUUGGGACUGAGACACGGCCCAG
RNAcentral lists this ribosomal RNA (229 nucleotides) under uncultured bacterium. RNAcentral describes it as "partial 16S ribosomal RNA". It matches the Rfam family "Bacterial small subunit ribosomal RNA", at positions 108 to 334 of the family's 1533-position model. The record is from RNAcentral.